AUAUCUGAUAUGGCCUUUUAGCUAAGAUCAAGUGUAGUAUUUGUCCUUAUCAGUUUAAUAUUUGAUAUGUGAAUUAUCGACUCAUACGAUGUUAACUCAAUUUUUUUUAGGGGAGAGACCAUUACGGUAGCUUGCUAUCGGAGCUCUCAAUGUAUUGCCUUGGUUUUGCACUAUUACCUUGACCUGGCACACCCCAC
This 197-nucleotide small nuclear RNA is filed under the name Nicotiana sylvestris (wood tobacco). Its description in RNAcentral is "U2 spliceosomal RNA". It matches the Rfam family "U2 spliceosomal RNA". Rfam says of the family: U2 is a small nuclear RNA (snRNA) component of the spliceosome (involved in pre-mRNA splicing). Complementary binding between U2 snRNA (in an area lying towards the 5' end but 3' to hairpin I) and the branchpoint sequence (BPS) of the intron results the bulging out of an unpaired adenosine, on the BPS, which initiates a nucleophilic attack at the intronic 5' splice site, thus starting the first of two transesterification reactions that mediate splicing. The record is from Rfam by way of RNAcentral. Lineage: Eukaryota; Viridiplantae; Streptophyta; Magnoliopsida; Solanales; Solanaceae.